CCACGUUGUCACUUUGUCUUCCCAUAAAAUUUCCGAACACAUAAACCCCCAAAAACAGUCAUCAUAUCUGUAGACCUUUCUAUACAUUACUACUAAAAACUCAAAACCCUAGCUCAAAAGCCUCCAUUUUCGAGAACCCAAAUCUUUGUAUGUUCUUACUCCCCUUUGUUCCUUACAUUUUCAGUGACCUUUUUGAAUAUUUGUUACAUUUCUUUGCUUAUUUUUUCUUCAUUUUCAUUUACUUUUGUGUGUGUUUUAUCCUCUCAAAAAUAUCUCCUCACCAAGAAACAGGCUCCACAAUCUUUUCAGUUGUUGUAAAAAAGUACCAUUUUGCAAAACAUUCUACUGCUCAAACUUCCUACUCCAAGAUAAAUCCUAAAACUUAAAAAUUGCAAUCCACAUGUUCUAUUGCUGGGCCCGUGCUACGCGGGCCUUGCACUUCUAGUCUUUAUCAUAAAUAGCCAAAUAAAAUCUGUCCCAACUAAAAAGUUAACACAUCAUGGAAAAUUGUUUUCCUUAAUUAACAUAGUCAAUUGUUUUCCUUAACGUUCACCUAUACGCUCCCCCUUGGCUGACCG
This is a long non-coding RNA of Capsicum annuum, 578 nucleotides long. RefSeq lists it as uncharacterized. Lineage: Eukaryota; Viridiplantae; Streptophyta; Magnoliopsida; Solanales; Solanaceae. The record is from RefSeq and is a predicted model, not a curated record. The transcript is spliced from 2 exons.